This 702-nucleotide ribosomal RNA is filed under the name uncultured Alphaproteobacteria bacterium. RNAcentral's name for it is "bacterial SSU rRNA". It matches the Rfam family "Bacterial small subunit ribosomal RNA", at positions 28 to 776 of the family's 1533-position model. The record is from RNAcentral. Lineage: Bacteria; Pseudomonadati; Pseudomonadota; Alphaproteobacteria.
AACGAACGCUGGCGGCAUGCCUAACACAUGCAAGUCGAACGAAGGCUUCGGCCUUAGUGGCGCACGGGUGCGUAACGCGUGGGAAUCUGCCCUUAGGUUCGGAAUAACAGCUGGAAACGGCUGCUAAUACCGGAUGAUGACGAAAGUCCAAAGAUUUAUCGCCUGAGGAUGAGCCCGCGUUGGAUUAGGUAGUUGGUGGGGUAAAGGCCUACCAAGCCGACGAUCCAUAGCUGGUCUGAGAGGAUGAUCAGCCACACUGGGACUGAGACACGGCCCAGACUCCUACGGGAGGCAGCAGUGGGGAAUAUUGGACAAUGGGCGAAAGCCUGAUCCAGCAAUGCCGCGUGAGUGAUGAAGGCCCUAGGGUUGUAAAGCUCUUUUACCCGGGAAGAUAAUGACUGUACCGGGAGAAUAAGCCCCGGCUAACUCCGUGCCAGCAGCCGCGGUAAUACGGAGGGGGCUAGCGUUGUUCGGAAUUACUGGGCGUAAAGCGCACGUAGGCGGCUUUGUAAGUCAGAGGUGAAAGCCUGGAGCUCAACUCCAGAACUGCCUUUGAGACUGCAUCGCUUGAAUCCAGGAGAGGUCAGUGGAAUUCCGAGUGUAGAGGUGAAAUUCGUAGAUAUUCGGAAGAACACCAGUGGCGAAGGCGGCUGACUGGACUGGUAUUGACGCUGAGGUGCGAAAGCGUGGGGAGCAAACAGG